This 654-nucleotide ribosomal RNA is filed under the name uncultured archaeon. RNAcentral's name for it is "bacterial SSU rRNA". It matches the Rfam family "Archaeal small subunit ribosomal RNA", at positions 508 to 1160 of the family's 1478-position model. The record is from RNAcentral.
GCCUAAAGCGUCCGUAGCCGGCUCUGUAAGUUUUCGGUUAAAUCUGUACGCUCAACGUACAGGCUGCUGGGAAUACUGCAGAGCUAGGGAGUGGGAGAGGUAGACGGUACUCGGGAGGAAGUGGUAAAAUGCUUUGAUCUCUCGAUGACCACCUGUGGCGAAGGCGGUCUACCAGAACACGUCCGACGGUGAGGGAUGAAAGCUGGGGGAGCAAACCGGAUUAGAUACCCGGGUAGUCCCAGCUGUAAACUAUGCAAACUCAGUGAUGCGUUGGCUUAUGGCCAGCGCAGUGUUGCAGGGAAGCCGUUAAGUUUGCCGCCUGGGAAGUACGUACGCAAGUAUGAAACUUAAAGGAAUUGGCGGGGGAGCACCACAAGGGGUGAAGCCUGCGGUUCAAUUGGAGUCAACGCCAGAAAUCUUACCCGGAGAGACAGCAGAAUGAAGGUCAAGCUGAAGACUUUACCAGACAAGCUGAGAGGUGGUGCAUGGCCGUCGCCAGCUCGUGCCGUGAGAUGUCCUGUUAAGUCAGGUAACGAGCGAGACCCUUGCCUCUAGUUGCCACCAUUGCUCUCUGGAGCAGUGGGGCGAAUUAGCGGGACCGCCGCAGUUAAUGCGGAGGAAGGAAAGGGCUACGGCAGGUCAGUAUGCCCCGAA